AUUCUUUAGUCCGACUGAAUGGGCCUGUAAACAGCAAAUAACAACUCGUGAAACUGACGUGCAUUUGUCUCCUAGUCACCAGCUCGCUCAUACUCUUUCUUGUUGAUUUCAGUUGCAGUCAUAAUAUUUCUUCUAACAAAAAAAAUUCUCUGAAAAUUUUAGGGAUCAUAAAUCUCUUCAAACUCUCCAAGCAGAGCCCACCAGAAAGUUGCUAUAAUAGUUCAUGGUCAAAGAGAUGGUGGAUACACCCAUCAAAGAGAAGCAGCCCAGGAUGCAAUUUAUAUAUGUUUGCCUUCAGCCCAGACCUAUGCAUAUUAAAUAGCCUA
Long non-coding RNA from Neopelma chrysocephalum (saffron-crested tyrant-manakin), 326 nucleotides. RefSeq lists it as uncharacterized. The transcript is spliced from 3 exons. NCBI's taxonomy places the organism in Eukaryota, Metazoa, Chordata, Aves, Passeriformes, Pipridae. The record is from RefSeq and is a predicted model, not a curated record.